This 1675-nucleotide long non-coding RNA is filed under the name Homo sapiens (human). RNAcentral describes it as "HSALNT0289617". The record is from RNAcentral. Lineage: Eukaryota; Metazoa; Chordata; Mammalia; Primates; Hominidae.
CGCAGCAAGGGCCAGACUCUGCGCUAGCAGGCGCUGCGCGCCAACCGGCCGGCACCUGUCGCAGAAGGUGCAACCGAUCGCACUGUCGCGCAGAAGCUCCUCAAUGGCCAGCGCCAGCUGCAGCCCCGGCCGCCCACUCGCCUCAUCUGAGCCUGGGCAAAUCUGGAUUGGGAAAGUUGACAUUAAUCAACUCAUUAUUCCUCACAGAUUUGUAUUCUCCAGAGUAUCCAGGUCCUUCUCAGAGAAUUAAAAAGCCUGUACAGGUCUAGAUAUUGGUAUUUUUAAUUGAUGAUAAGCUGGAAUAAUAUUAAUACACACAAAGCACGUGUUGUAACUUUCAUUAUGCUUCCUUAGAGCGCUGCUCUAAGCUGUUGAUGAAAAAUAUUGUUGGUGAGCUCUGCUUAGGUAAUAUAUAGGACAUGAGCAGAGAGGAGGCACGUGAACAGUUCUGGCCUGGAGUAGGCUUCAUUGAGGCUGUGAUGCUUUUAGCUGGAUUUGAAGAAGUGGUAGUGAUCAUCCCAGUGCACAGGAUAGGUGGACAGUCUAUGUAUUCUGAGCAGUAACUCAUAUAUCUCAUACUGCAAGACCCCAAAGGAGUAAUUUUGUGAACUCUGUUCACGGAAAGGGCCUGGGAGCUGCAACACCUCAACAGCAACAAGCACACCUGCUACCUAGAACUUGGUUUCUAAAAACCAUCCUCCUCUAAAAGGAAACAGAGCUCUUUGAAGAAACGGUGAGACAGUCAACAAACCUCUAACCACCGACCUUUUCUCCUCUGCCCUCCACUCACACUCUGCUCCAUCACCCUCAGCCACACAGCUGACGCUGUAGAGAUUCACUGACAUCCAGUCUGAUGGACACUGUUUCUCCAGCCGAAACUGCUCAUGAGAACAUGUGCAGUGAAGUGCUCCAGAGGCCCCAGCAUGCUACAUUACAGAAGACUGAACUCAGGAGAGAUGAGGAAUAAUCCCCUCCAUCACACCAGACACCAGGAGGGUGUGCCAAGGUAUUCUAAUAAUACUGCGUGACAUUACGGACAACUUAGCCUAAAUUAUGGAAAAUCAAAUUAUUUAGUAGAACUGCAAGACAAUCCUCUCAGUUGUUGUAAGGUAACUUUGCUGAACUUGUGAAGAAUGGUGUGCAAGGUCCAGAGCGACUGCAGGAGAGGGAAGGUGGGAUUCCCACAGAGCAGGAGCACAGAUAAGCCAAGCAAGGCCCUGCUUGGAAGGCAGCAAUCAACAGAGAUGCACAGACCUGUGAGGGUGCCGGGACAGCCAUGCAACAAUGCAGCCCUUUUGCUUCCUGAGCUCACCAGUUCCCUCGCUCCACCUCUGAGAGGUGGUUUGGAGAAACACAGCCCUUCUCAAGAGGGCUGCAAGCUACUUAAGUCCUGAAAAUUUCCACAAGGCUGAGUCAAAUCUGCGUUUCAUCAUCUAUAAGAAAGGUACCUAUCGAGAACACCCUGCUGGCCAGUGUGUAAAUAUCUAAAGGAGGACUCAGAAAACACCGGGGAAGUCCAGCCUGCACGUGGUGGCUGGGCUUCAGUGAAGCAUGCAGCACAACAGGAGUUAGCAGACCACAAAGAGCAUGUCUGGACCUAGAACCACAGCAUGUAACCUCGGAAGCAGUGAGACACCAGCCAGCAUGGACAAGCAGCAGGCACUUGCUCUAUACC